Molecule: long non-coding RNA, 346 nt
Filed under: Brassica napus (rape)
Lineage: Eukaryota; Viridiplantae; Streptophyta; Magnoliopsida; Brassicales; Brassicaceae
Description: long non-coding RNA (BNAP_LNC024403)
Source: RNAcentral
UUUGAAACGGCGAGAGUGUUGAGACGGCAAGAGUUUUGUCUUUUUCCAAUCGAAAUGUAUUGGUUUUGGAAACCUAUCCUAUAUUAAUUGGUUUAAGUAUGCUUAUGUAAUAUUCUUUAACAGAUGAUUCACUUCAUACCAGCGGUUAAACCGAGGAAUUUCAUAACACAAAAGUCUCUCUAUCCCCGGGUUCGAUAAGUGGUGGAUUCAAAAUCAAUUUUAAUUUUUUUUUGUGUUACAGUUUGGAGUUAAAUACAAUUAAAUGUAAUCCAUUAACAGAUGAUUCUUCUUUGCCUAGUGGCUAAAAUCCCACACUAUCCAAAUACGCAAACUCUCUCCCUCUGGG